CUUCGUUGCAGAAAUUUGCCUGCAAUGGUACUGUAAUUGAACACCCCGAAUAUGGAGAAGUGAUUCAGCUGCAGGGUGACCAGCGCAAGAACAUCUGCCAGUUCCUCGUGGAGAUUGGCCUGGCUAAAGACGACCAGCUGAAAGUCCAUGGGUUUUAGGUGCCUGUGGGUCACUGAAGCUUUAUGCAAGAAGAUUUCCUUACCAUGAAAUUCCCAUCUGUCCCUUGUCAUAAGUUUAAAACCAGCCGGUUUGUGUAAUGUAAUGAUCUUGGGUCCACUGUUCGGUCUGGACUAGUGUAAUUCAGUGAUGUAAUAAACUGACAAGAGCCCAUGCUAUCUCGUCUUGCUGUCCCUCAUUUAACAGAGGUAAAUCGGGCGUUUGGCAUGGUCCAGCCUGAAGCUAAAAGUAACCAGAUGUUCCAAGUUAAGCCAAGGGACUCGGCCUGUCAGUCCAGAGACUGUCCGGAUCGCUCCUCCGUCCAGCUGCUCUUCCAUUCCCAUGGACGGUAAUUUAUCUCGCGGUGCCUCCCGCAGUCCUACACGGAGCGAGGCACCGAGCGCGAGCUGUGACAUGGCACGGGGAGAUAGCACCUUCCCUCCAGGCAGUGCUGGCUCCUGGUGGCAGAGGGAUUUGGGGAAGCUUGACUUUGAACAAGAGGAGUAACUGAAGAGUGACGUCAAGGCUGGAUGUCUGCAGUUCAGGCCGGGCAGGUGCUGGUACCCUGCAAGCCCCAAGAUACCGGGCUAGCCUACUCGAAGGAACCGUCGCCUUGGGUUAAACUUUUGACAAGGGAUCAAUUUUGGACUAAUGUCACGAGUAUCGUUGUAGAUAGAGCCGCAGAGCUUAUGUGUCGCUAGCAACUGCUGCCUAAUGCCCUGUGAAGUAACAGAUUUUUGGUUUCAUUUUUAAUGUUUUAUGUAAUGUAUUUAAAGUCUUAUUUAAAUAAAAAUGGUUUUCAAAAGCA
Pygoscelis adeliae (Adelie penguin) is the source of this 964-nucleotide long non-coding RNA. RefSeq lists it as uncharacterized. Lineage: Eukaryota; Metazoa; Chordata; Aves; Sphenisciformes; Spheniscidae. The transcript is spliced from 2 exons. The record is from RefSeq and is a predicted model, not a curated record.